Molecule: non-coding RNA, 396 nt
Organism: Peromyscus maniculatus bairdii (prairie deer mouse)
Lineage: Eukaryota; Metazoa; Chordata; Mammalia; Rodentia; Cricetidae
Source: RefSeq, a predicted model, not a curated record
CGCCGCAGUCUCUCUCGCCCGCUGCGGCGGGACUCCGGGGAGCUUUCUCCCCACCACCACCACCCCCCGGGGAGCCAGCCCCCCACGCGUGACGGGCCUGGCGUCGCCGGGAGCUGCGAGGCGGGCCUCCCCAGGACCGUGGGCGGAGACGGGACACGGCGUGCGCACCCACGGGCGGGCUCGGCUCCACGCGGCGGGACGCGCGGUCCCGUUAGCCUCCCGGCGGGAUGACGGAGUUCUGCCUUUUACAUUUGUUUGGGAAACAGUUUUCUGAAUUGCAGCAAUGAAGUCCUGUGAUUUACAGGAGCUGUCCGUCAUUUAAUCUGCAUCAUCCAUGUUUUGUUGCCAGUUCUUUAUAACGUGCUCCAUUAAAAUGUAGACGAGAUUAGCCGUGUU